RNAcentral lists this ribosomal RNA (254 nucleotides) under uncultured bacterium. RNAcentral describes it as "partial 16S ribosomal RNA". It matches the Rfam family "Bacterial small subunit ribosomal RNA", at positions 524 to 776 of the family's 1533-position model. The record is from RNAcentral.
UACGUAGGGUGCGAGCGUUGUCCGGAAUUAUUGGGCGUAAAGAGCUCGUAGGCGGUCUGUCGCGUCGGUCGUGAAAACUUGGGGCUUAACCCCGAGCUUGCGGUCGAUACGGGCAUGACUGGAGUUCGGCAGGGGAGACUGGAAUUCCUGGUGUAGCGGUGAAAUGCGCAGAUAUCAGGAGGAACACCGGUGGCGAAGGCGGGUCUCUGGGCCGAUACUGACGCUGAGACGCGAAAGCGUGGGGAGCAAACAGG